Long non-coding RNA from Nicotiana tabacum (common tobacco), 573 nucleotides. RefSeq lists it as uncharacterized. The record is from RefSeq and is a predicted model, not a curated record. Lineage: Eukaryota; Viridiplantae; Streptophyta; Magnoliopsida; Solanales; Solanaceae.
CUUUCCCUCCGGGUUUUUUCCACUAAAAUCACCUAUUCCCUCUAUUUCUAAUCAACAACUAAGUUCAAAAAAUUUGAAAAAUAUUUCAAAAAUACAAAUGAAGUUUAUCCUCGCCGCUGCCUUCUUUUCAUUAUAGUUGGCCACCAUCCCAAAGUAACUUUUUGCUGCCAUCGUGCCUUCUCUGUAUCACUGUCGAACGUCAUCAUCCAUCCCCAGUAAAAGAUUUUCAUCACCGCUGCUCAUCCGCCGUUUCACCAUUGUCACUACCAUCUCACAUGGGUUAUUAAUUGAAGAUUAGGGAACUAGGAAUAUGAAUUUGGAGAGAGGGGCGAGAGAAUAGAAAGAAAAAGAGUUUGUGACAAAGGUCAUACAUUAUAGCGGUCAAAUCUUCGCUCAUAGCAGAUUACAUUAUGAUCAAGAGUUGGAGAAUCUUUCUAUGUCGCUUAUUGUAUGUAGCUAUUUGAUAAAAUAACUUAUUAGAUGCAAAAUGACACUAGGUGUUAUAUUUAAAUAGGUUAGCAUUUUGUUAUAUUGUUGACACUUCCAAUUUUUGGAUUAAUAAUUUCGGUUGUU